GUCCAAUUUAGUUCCUGAUAAAAUUAAAAUUAGUUCAGGACAAAUUAGUUGUUGACUUAUUAUAAUAGAGUGACUAAAUUAGACCGUGAGAAAAUUGUGAAGGACCAAAUUGAGUCUUCACUCAAUCCUUAAAAUUAAAAUAUAUGAAAUAGACAUGUUUAUUUUAUCCCACUCGCCAUUAUUAUAAAGACGUCAACCAAUAUUAGAUUGGCUGAAUGAACCAGACUUGAAUUCCUUAAAUAAGGUUUUGACUACAAGGUUUGUUAACGAAAAAAAUAUGGUUGGAAGGAGAGACUUCGUGGAAGGUGGCCAACCAAAUUCUCCAGACCAUUCAUAAAAACAAAGAUCUUGUGCAACAUUAAUUCUAUUAUUUCUUAUCACAAAAUUUAUCCUUGAAUAUCCAGUUACAUAUAACAUAGGAACAUCAUUUGGACCCAUCAACAAAAAAUUACUAGAAAACUGAAAGAAAGUAGUAGAGUUUGGAAUACAUUUGUUCAAAAGGCUGAACCAUGAAAUCAAAUGUCAAAGGAUGUGAAUCAAACAUCAAACAUGAAUACUGAUUAAAGGAAAAUACAUGAUCUGUUCUUCUUUCUUUUUUUCUUUUGCUUAGGAGGCUGCAAAACAACCUUGAUUGCAGCAUCAAACACAGCCUUCACAUUCUGAAAUAUUGCAAUAAACACAUAAAAUUAGUACAAGAUUAAUAGUGUGCUUGUGUUAGAUCUUUUUUUCUAAUUCUAAUUAAUUUAAAAUAACCAUAAGUUUAUAACUAUAUAUGAAUUAAAA
This 783-nucleotide long non-coding RNA is filed under the name Medicago truncatula (barrel medic). Its description in RNAcentral is "lncRNA gene12044". The record is from RNAcentral. Lineage: Eukaryota; Viridiplantae; Streptophyta; Magnoliopsida; Fabales; Fabaceae.